CAGUCGACGGCAGCACGGGAGCAAUCCUGGUGGCGAGUGGCGAACGGGUGAGUAAUAUAUCGGAACGUGCCCAGUCGUGGGGGAUAACUACUCGAAAGAGUGGCUAAUACCGCAUACGAUCUAUGGAUGAAAGCGGGGGAUCGCAAGACCUCGCGCGAUUGGAGCGGCCGAUAUCAGAUUAGGUAGUUGGUAGGGUAAAAGCCUACCAAGCCUGCGAUCUGUAGCUGGUCUGAGAGGACGACCAGCCACACUGGAACUGAGACACGGUCCAGACUCCUAUGGGAGGCAGCAGUGGGGAAUUUUGGACAAUGGGCGCAAGCCUGAUCCAGCAAUGCCGCGUGCAGGACGAAGGCCUUCGGGUUGUAAACUGCUUUUGUACGGAGCGAAAAGGUCUCUACUAAUACUAGGGGCUCAUGACGGUACCGUAAGAAUAAGCACCGGCUAACUACGUGCCAGCAGCCGCGGUAAUACGUAGGGUGCGAGCGUUAAUCGGAAUUACUGGGCGUAAAGCGUGCGCAGGCGGUUUUAUAAGACAGAU
This 538-nucleotide ribosomal RNA is filed under the name uncultured bacterium. RNAcentral's name for it is "bacterial SSU rRNA". It matches the Rfam family "Bacterial small subunit ribosomal RNA", at positions 59 to 593 of the family's 1533-position model. The record is from RNAcentral.